This 429-nucleotide ribosomal RNA is filed under the name Bacteroidota bacterium. Its description in RNAcentral is "Bacteroidetes bacterium partial 16S ribosomal RNA". It matches the Rfam family "Bacterial small subunit ribosomal RNA", at positions 355 to 776 of the family's 1533-position model. The record is from RNAcentral. Lineage: Bacteria; Pseudomonadati; Bacteroidota.
UAGGGAAUCUUCCGCAAUGGACGCAAGUCUGACGGAGCAACGCCGCGUGAGUGAAGAAGGAUUUCGGUUCGUAAAACUCUGUUGUUAGAGAAGAACAGCGCAUAGAGUAACUGUUAUGCGUGUGACGGUAUCUAACCAGAAAGCCACGGCUAACUACGUGCCAGCAGCCGCGGUAAUACGUAGGUGGCAAGCGUUGUCCGGAUUUAUUGGGCGUAAAGCGAGCGCAGGCGGUCAAUUAAGUCUGAUGUGAAAGCCCCCGGCUCAACCGGGGAGGGUCAUUGGAAACUGGUUGACUCGAGUGAAGAAGAGGAGAGUGGAAUUCCAUGUGUAGCGGUGAAAUGCGUAGAUAUAUGGAGGAACACCAGUGGCGAAGGCGACUCUCUGGUCUGUAACUGAAGCUGAGGCUCGAAAGCGUGGGUAGCAAACAGG